This 956-nucleotide ribosomal RNA is filed under the name Cortinarius sp. 7 MD-2018. Its description in RNAcentral is "eukaryotic LSU rRNA". It matches the Rfam family "Eukaryotic large subunit ribosomal RNA", at positions 1 to 941 of the family's 3401-position model. Lineage: Eukaryota; Fungi; Basidiomycota; Agaricomycetes; Agaricales; Cortinariaceae. The record is from RNAcentral.
UGUGACCUCAAAUCAGGUAGGACUACCCGCUGAACUUAAGCAUAUCAAUAAGCGGAGGAAAAGAAACUAACAAGGAUUCCCCUAGUAACUGCGAGUGAAGCGGGAAAAGCUCAAAUUUAAAAUCUGGCAGUCUUUGGCUGUCCGAGUUGUAAUCUAGAGAAGUGUUAUCCGCGCUGGACCGUGUACAAGUCUCCUGGAAUGGAGCGUCAUAGAGGGUGAGAAUCCCGUCUUUGACACGGACUACCAGGGCUUUGUGAUGCGCUCUCAAAGAGUCGAGUUGUUUGGGAAUGCAGCUCAAAAUGGGUGGUAAAUUCCAUCUAAAGCUAAAUAUUGGCGAGAGACCGAUAGCGAACAAGUACCGUGAGGGAAAGAUGAAAAGAACUUUGGAAAGAGAGUUAAACAGUACGUGAAAUUGCUGAAAGGGAAACGCUUGAAGUCAGUCGCGUCGUCCAGGGAUCAACCUUGCUUUUGCUUGGUGCACUUUCUGGCUGACGGGUCAGCAUCAAUUUUGAUCAUUGGAAAAAGAUUAAGGGAAUGUGGCAUCUUUGGAUGUGUUAUAGCCCUUGGUUGCAUACGAUGGUUGGGAUUGAGGAACUCAGCACGCCGCAAGGCCGGGUUUUAAACCACGUACGUGCUUAGGAUGCUGGCAUAAUGGCUUUAAUCGACCCGUCUUGAAACACGGACCAAGGAGUCUAACAUGCCUGCGAGUGUUUGGGUGGAAAACUCGAGCGCGUAAUGAAAGUGAAAGUUGAGAUCCCUGUCGUGGGGAGCAUCGACGCCCGGACCAGACCUUUUGUGACGGUUCCGCGGUAGAGCAUGUAUGUUGGGACCCGAAAGAUGGUGAACUAUGCCUGAAUAGGGUGAAGCCAGAGGAAACUCUGGUGGAGGCUCGUAGCGAUUCUGACGUGCAAAUCGAUCGUCAAAUUUGGGUAUAGGGGCGAAAGACUAAUCGAACC